This 332-nucleotide unclassified non-coding RNA is filed under the name soil metagenome. RNAcentral describes it as "partial contains 5.8S ribosomal RNA, internal transcribed spacer 2, and large subunit ribosomal RNA". The stretch from base 1 to 120 matches the Rfam family "5.8S ribosomal RNA", at positions 35 to 154 of the family's 154-position model. The record is from RNAcentral.
GAUGAAGAACGUAGCGAAAUGCGAUAAGUAGUGUGAAUUGCAGAAUUCAGUGAAUCAUCGAAUCUUUGAACGCACAUUGCGCCCUUUGGUAUUCCUUAGGGCAUGCCUGUUCGAGCGUCAUUUAAACCUUCAAGCUCAGCUUGGUGUUGGGUGACUGUCCGCUUCACCGCGGACUCGCCUCAAAAUUAUUGGCGGCCGGUACAUUGGCUUCGAGCGCAGCAGAAACGCGAACUCGGGCCCGUCGUAUUGGCUCCCAGAAGCUAUCUUCACUAUUUUGACCUCGGAUCAGGUAGGGAUACCCGCUGAACUUAAGCAUAUCAAUAAGCGGAGGA